GCAAUGGUAAAGGCUGGCAAGUCCCAAGUCCAUGAGUCAGGUGUCAGGCUGGAGGCUUCACCUGACUCAUAUACCUUCAGCGGCUGAAUGAACCCAAGAUUGGCUGGUAAGAUGGUAGGCUGCUGGAUCACAGGCUAUGGAGGCCGAUCAGUCCCAACAUUGGUAGGCAAAAUAGCAGACCACUGGCUCAAGUCCCAAGAACCAGAGGUCAGAUGAUGACGAACCAGAAACCAGAUGCAGGUUCUGGAGCAAGCAAGUGAGCUUUGCCAGAAUGUUCAUACAUAUAUUGGAUGCAGGCCAUACCUGCAAUGAAACUCCUCUUACAACUGAUUGACUGGUCACAUCAGAUCACAUCAUAGAGGAUGGCUACAUCAUUACAUAACUGCCAAACUACAUCCUUACGUAACUUCCAAAUUACAUCAUUACAUAACCGCCAAACUACAUCCUUACUUAACUGCUGAACCUCUGAGAAUCAUGGCCCAGUUGAGCUGACAAACAACCUUAGUCAUCACAGGCCCCUUCCUGUCUACCAGGGCCAGGGCCCAUCCUUUCACGUAAUUCGGUUCUCUGCUGAGAAAAAUUAGGAUAGACCAACUCGGCCUCUGCUACUAGCUUAUUAGGUCACUUUUGGAGGAUUCUUUCCUGUCACCGAGAUGAUAAAGCUGAAUUAGAGAAGAGCCCUUCUCUGAGGAUGUCCAGGCCCUAAAAUUCCGUGGCUUCAUGGGGAUAGUGCAGAACCGGGCAGUGUGUCGUUCUCUUGUACGUGGGGUCACCAUGAGUUGGGGUCAACUCAAUGGCAGCUAACAACAAAAUUCUGUGAGGCUCCCUCAAAAAGUUCUUUGGUGUUCAUUUCUGUGCCCAGAAUGUUUUUCUGCCUGCUGAUGACAGCAGGGCGGACGAUGAUAAGCAGGUGGUCCUGUGGGAUGGCCUGGGGCCCUGGAUCUCUAUGAGGAGCAGAGACGUGGGAUCCUUCACAUACCCACAGAUGAAUGCACGUUUCCUGGGGAUGGGUCUUCUCUGCCUGUUGAACUGAGCAGAUGGCUGUGCUUAAGAUGAAAAAGGAAGUUGCCAAAUCCCCUCUCUGUCCAGCUUAGAAUUUAGGAAGAAACAAGCCAACGACUCCUCACUAACUUUGAGAUCCUUCCCCUCAAUCAGCAGCCUCUGCACUUUCUUCCUGCAGAUGUUUCCUUUCUCUGAGAGCCUGUGAGGAGCCACCUCUUCAUCACCCCUUGAAUAUUCCUGUUUUCAUGCCACCUCCCUGCUCCUAAGUCCACAGGUCUGCCUCAGCCUGCGUGCUGCUGCCAGCUUUCCGAGCCUGACACUCCAGACCCUCCACAGUCUGGGUCCUUUCUAAAAGGUGAGGGUGGGGAGUAGAACUAGACCUUAAGCAGUGAGAUGGAGCGGGUCACAGAGCAAAGGUAGGUUGGACCAAGGCAUAGAUACUGGGCUUGGCCAGGUGUGGGCAGGGUUACACGGGAGAUCAGCUGGCUGAGCCCAGGCUGUGUUUGGAGGGCAAAAGGAGGAAUAGCCAGUUGGCAAAAUCUUGCUGAGAAGGGCUUUUAUUAGUUUCUAGAAUGAUGCAGUUCUUGGCCCAGCUGAAGUGAAUGACAGACAGCCUUGGUACAGUGCUGCUUAGAGGAUGUCUGCAUACCACACAGGGGUCCUGGUCAGCAGUGCUGAAGUUGCACCUGCUACUGGGAAGGAAGGAGUAAGUGGGCAUGGCCUGUCUUGCCAAUGGCCUCAUCCUUUGGCCCCCCUGGUUAAGAAGAUAAUGACUUUUCCAUUGCCCUCAGAGAAUUCCCAACCAGAAACUAAGUGUAGUUAAAGCAAACCAAGAGAUGAUACAACCUUUCUGCAGGUCAGCUGGGCAAUAUAUGUCAAGGGGAUUAAAACUACACACACCUUUUGAUGCAAGUCUCACUGCUAGUAGGUGAUCCUAGGGACAUGAUCAGGGAGGUGUGCAAAGCUGUGUGUACACACAAGACGGUUGCUGCAGCGUUACUUACAAACAUACGGCUCAGAAAUGCCCCUACUGACCAGUAAAAGGGGCUUGUUUAAAAAUUAGGUGGCAAAAAUAGUUUGUGCUCAACUCCUAAUGGAGAGGCUGGAGGUUCAAAUCUACCCAGUGGCACUGUGAAGAAAGGCCUGGUGAUCUACUUCUGAAAAGUCAGGCAUUGAAAACCCUAUGGAACACACUUCUACUCUGAAACAUAUGGGGUCACCAUGAGUCAGAGUUGACUCAAUGACAAUGGGGUUUUUUGUUUGUUUUUAGUUAAAAAAAAAAAAAAAAAUUUGUACACUCAUAGAGUAGACUACUACACUGCCAGUAGUUGGCUUUGCAAUUUAAUAGCUGUGUGUGAAUAAUUAGGUAAAUUGCUCUACCCAUCAAGCCCUAGUGUCCUCCUCCGUAAAACGGAGAUGUCUGUGUUCACUCACCCCUGUGAAGUGUGACGCCUGGGUGCAGCCUCUGCAGCCGGACUGCCUGGGUGUGAAUGGCUUCGCUUCUCUAGAGAACCCAACCAAAGACAGAGCCCUCGGAGAACAGACAAGGACAUAAAAACAUAGACUCAUAUGGUUGGAAGGCUCUCAUGAUUCACUGUGGUGGCAACAAUGGAUUCGAGCAUACCAGUGAUUGUGAAGAUGGCACAGGACUGGACAGCAUUUCCUUCUGUUGUACAUAGGGUCACUAUGAGUAGGAGCUGACUUAACAGCAACUAACAGCAACGAUAGAGCUUCCUGGUGUCCUAGAAGGCCAGGCUUUAGCUGGGAGACCCCUUGGAGAUUCCCACUACCACAUGACGUUCUCCUGCCCCGUCUGGGGACUCUAGCAGAGAUCAGGACCCUGGCUCCCAGGUCCGAACUCCACCCCCACCCUCUGCACAUAGCUGCCCCUUGGCCAGCCCUUGGGCCUAGAGGAGCACAUAUGGACCAUUUGGUCCACCCACAGGAAAAUGGAACUGGGGAAGAGCCCUGGGGAAGCCUCAGAAGUGGGCUUGGGCAUUUAGACAAAGAGCCCAGGGCCCCGGGAGCCUGGAAUAUCGUCUGAGGGAAGGUGCAUUGCUCUAACUGGGCCCACCCCGUUGGCCCUAAAGACUCCUUACUGUAAGGAAGAGUGGGGCCAGAGCAGGGCCUUCUAGCUUGCAGGGCCUAGGGCUGGGGCCCCUCUUGCCAAGGUCAGAGGGGGUGAGAUAGGGAGUUAGGAAAAAAAAUCAGGUUCUUGGUUUUGCUAUUUCCAGGUGAGGGUCACCCAUGGUGGACAGGUUUCAGCAGAGUUUUCAGACUAAGAUGGACUAGGAAGAAAGGCCUGGUGACCUACUUCCAAAAAUCUGUCUGGACCUCAGUCUCCCCAUCUGCCAUCUCUUUAGCCUCUGGGCCCCUCUGACUCUGCCCUGAGUUCUAAAGUGGACCCUGUCCUUCCUAAGGCCAGGGGACACCAGUCCUCAUCUUCCUCCAGCCUUCCUGCCCAGUGCCAACCUCUUCAAAUUAUCCUCAGAAUUUAACACUCUUUGGGUUUUGGGGUUUUACUUCCCUAAACAACAGGCCUAGAUCUUGAAAAAACAAAAACAAGCAAAGGAUUUCUGCUUAUGUAUUUCAUUUGUGAUCGUAAAAGCAAUGUAAUCCUGACCAGGCUCAUGCACACAGGUUUGCAGGCCUCCCAAGCAGGCCAACCUUUACAGAAGGCUUGUUUACAGCGUGGCCUGUUCUCCCUGCAAGGUCUGCAAUCAGGAUCUUGAAAAAAAUAAGUGAAUUAGGCAAAUUGAGAGGACAGAGGGUUCCUGACCUAGAGCAGGGAGAAGCUGGUGUGGGCCUGUGAGUGCUGCAGGGCUCAGGGAGGGCCCUGGGGAGGACAGAUAAGGCCAGAGGGGGUGGGCGGAGGAAGAGGGAACAGGAAGAGGGCAAAGAGUGCAAUGGGGGAAGGAGGGCUAGUAUUAGCAUUUAACGAGUUUUACCACAUUCCCUUGGAGUCUCUGGGUGGUAUAAGGGGUUCACACGCUCCACUGCUGAGUGAAAGGUUGGAGAUUCGAGUUCACCCAGAGGCACCUCAGAAGAAAGGCCUGGCAAUCUACUUUAGAAAAAUCAGCCAUUAAAAACCCUGUGGAGCACAGUUCUACUCCAACACACAUGGGUCACCAUGAGUCAGAGUCAGCUUAUGACAGCAUGCCAUGGCCUGUGACGAAUUUUUUACAUACAUUUUUCUCAUCAGUUAAGGAUUUUAUGUUGUUGUUGGGUGCCGUUGAGUAGACUCUGAUUCAGAGUGACCCUAUAGGACAGAGUAGAACUGCCUCAUUGGGUUUCCUAGGCUGUAAUCUUUACAGGAACAGAUCGCCAGGUCUUUUCUCUCACAGAGCCAAUGGUGGGUUUGAACUGCCGAUGUUUUGGUCGGCAGUGGAGCACUUAAUGAUGACAUCCCCAGGGCUUCUUUAUAGAAUAAAAUCUCCUCCUUUCCAGUUCCCCAAUUUUGGAAACUGACAUGGGGUUGCUCAUUUCUUAUUUUGCCAAGGAGAGACAUUAAAAAACAAAUAUUCAUUCGAUUGUCUAUUUGUUUAGCAAAUAUUUAGUGUAGACAUUAUUUCGGGCUCUGGGGUCCGGCCAUGAGCAAGAUAAGACAAAAAUCCCUGCCCUCAGGGGAAGAGUCAGACAAGGAACAAAAAUGGGAAGUAAACGACAUGUCAGGUAGGGGUCAGGUAUAUGGAGGAAAAACAGGGCAAGGAAGGGGAGAGGGCCCUCCAGGGUGGAGUGACAGUGUUGAGUACAGUUGUCAAGAAGGCAUCCUUAAGGAGAGGGGAAAAAAAACAAAAUGAACAGCAUCUGUUGAGUUGAUUCUGGCUCAUGGUGGCUCUGUAUGUGUCAGAGUAGAACUGUGUUCCAUAGGGUUUUCAACGGCUGAUUUUUCAGAAGAUCACCAGGCCUUUCUUCCUAGGUGCCUCUGGGUGAACUCAAACUUCUAACUUUUCAAUUAGCAGCUGACCACAGUGAGUGCUGGCGCCACCCAGGGACUCCUUGAGGAGACAUUGGAGUGAAUAUCUGAAGGGGGAGGAAUCUGAGCCUCCGAGAAGGAGAUUGCCUUGCUCUGGGUCACAACAGCUGGUACCCGGCAGGGCCAGGAUUUGAACUCAGAUCGGGCAGGCACCAGGACCAUUGCUCUUACCCACCAGCCAUUCUGGCCUGCUUCAGCAGUCACACCUCCUGACCCCAGCCCCAGGGCACUGCAGCGCUGAUGAAAAGAACAACUCUGCCAUCAGGUUUAACCUGAUUUUCCUUUCUCUUCCUUCCCCAAACUGCCAGCCUGGGCAGUAUGGACAACCAGCUGACCUGGCCGGGACAGGUAGGUGGGUCAGGCCAAGAUUUUGCUAUCUGCUGGAAAUCAAGGGGCAGCUUCCUGGCUCUUUGCCUUCUGGGGCCUUUGUGUUGGCAUGGGCCUUGUUCGUGAGCCUGGCUAUGUUCGGUGGGUGUGGCUUUCAAACCAGGUCAUGCCAAUGAGUAUUACUGGCCCCUGCUCUGUACCCCACUGAGUGCUGGGAACUUUGUGUGUUUUCUCACUGCAAUGAAUCCUCUCAACCACAGUAAAAGGUAGGCGAGAGAUUCACUCAUUUCUUCAAUCAUUCAUUCACACCUUCAUUCCACCAAAAUUUGCUGAGCACCGUUUCACUGCAGAGAAUAUUGUCUGAACCUUUAUGGUGAGGCAGGCAUUGUGCCAGGCGCUCGUAUUCUCAUUUGUUGUUGUUAUUGUUAACUGCUGUUGAGUCAGCCCUCAACUCAUAGUGACCCUGUGCACAAUAGAACAGAACACUGCCUAGUUCUGAGCCAUCCCUAUGAUCGGUUGCAGUUCAGACUGUUGUGAUCCAUAGGGUUUUCACUGGUUCAUUUGGAGAACUUAGAUUGCCAGGCCUUUCUUCCUAAUCCAUUUUAGUCUGGAAGCUCUGCUGAAACCUGUUCGGUAUCAUAGCAACACACAAGCUGCCACUGACAAAUGGGUGGUGGCUGCACGUGAGGUGUAUUGGUGGGAAUUGAAUCCAGGUCUCCCACAUGGAAGGCAAGAAUUCUACCAUGGAACUACCACUGCCCCUAUAUUCUUACUUAAAGAAGUAUUAAAUCAGAGUAUGGUAUAAGGAGAAAUUCUUCAGGUGGAUGGGAGAUUUACUCAGAUUGGAAGAGACCUGGGAAGUUUUAAGAGGAUGUAAGAUCUGAGCUGGGCUCUGCAAAGCAGGUGGGGCUUGGCAAGUUUUGUGUGGGAAAGGGCAUUCAGGCAAAGGGAACAGCCUGAACAAAGGGUGGACAAUCAGUUAAAGAAGGGAGUUUCUAUGAACCAAGAGCUGACCCUCGGGACAGGGUUUCUCUGUAGGAGAGUGGAAGGAGCAGUGGUAGGUCAGAGGGCAGUGUGGAAAAGGAGGUUCCCUAUCUGGUCUCUGAGUGGCCUUGGGCCAGUCAUCUACCCUUUGACCCUUAGUUUGCCAUCUUAUAAAUCCGGAGUGGUGAUCCUCAUCCUGUCUGUCUUAUAGGGAAGGUUUGACAGUCAAAGGGCCUACAGAGAUUCUGCGAUGCUGAGAGAGCGCUCACUUGCUCGCUUUAGAGUAGGGCCUUUUCUUUAUGCUCCCAUGAUCCCCUGUUCAGCCUCUGCCCCAGUAUGUAUGGGGCUCUGGAUGUGACCUCCUGCCCACACCCCACCACACCCAGGUGCUCCUGGAGGUCAGGGGUGUGUCUUGCACUUUUGUAUUACUGGGCCCAACCCACCCAUGGCAUGUGCACAAGAUAAGUGGUCAGAGUCUGGAGUCUGCCUGACCUCAGCCUGGUUCCAUAUCGCCUGUGUGACCCCCCCAGCAAAUCAAUCCCCUCUCUGAGCUUCAGUUUCCUCCUUGGUGGAAUAGAUGUGCUAAUAGGACGGUGAGAGAUUUACUGAGCAAAGGUUCCUAUGGAGCUUGGUUCCAGCCCAGUGAGCCCUCCAUGACUGGCUGCUAUUUCUGGUCCAAACCAGAGCUCUCACCACCUUUGCUGGAAGAUCUUGGGAGGUGGAAGACUGUUGCUGGUCCCACUCACAGGAUUAUGAAGGGCAGGAGGAAUCCCAGUCAUCAGUCAAUUCCUCACUCUGUUGAUUCCCUGGUGCCUUCACUCACUCACUCACUUAUUCACUCAUUCGCUCACCCCUUUCAUUCAUUCAAUUAAUAUUCACUGAGCACCUUGCAAGCACCCAGCACAGUGCUGGGUGCUCCAAAUGAUACAAAAUGUUUAAGGUGAGGUUUCUAACUGCACGAGAGAACUUCUGUGAGAAGGAAAACCAGCAAGCAGUAUAAAACUACGGGCCCCUUGCGUGGGGAAGGCAGUGUCUCCUGAGUUCAGAGAGAGGAAAAUUGAGGGGAAGCGAGGAGGUUGGUGGUAGGGGUGUGUGAUAGGGAACCCACUCAAGAAGGAGGACUUGAGCAGGGUCUGAGGAAUUCGGACAGGCAGGGAGGGGCAGCAGGGCAUUCUGGGUACCAGGAACUGCCUGAGCAAAAAGGCAGAGGAAGGAAUACAUGUGGCAAUUAGACCUAAGUGCUUUGAUGGAGGGAACGGUGGAAUCUGGUUGUACAGGUGGACGGGGCUGGGUGGCAGAGGGUCAGGAGGCUGAACACUUCCUGUAGACUCAGAUUCCAGGAUGGUGACUGAAUACAGCUGGGACACCACUGAACUCACAGGCUCUGAGGAAAACCUGGAAGGUGGUGUGGUGGAAGUGUCAGCCACGGGCUCCUCUCCCUGCCCAGGAGGCCUGGCACUGCACAGGACACGGGGUGGGAAGAGAACUUUGUUGUGGCGCAGCCUGUCUCCAGUUCACCGUGCAAGCUCCGCUGCUAUCCAGUCAUCUCCAGCUCAUGGUGACCCCAUGUAUAACAGAACAAAACAUUGCCCAGUCCUGCGCCAUCUUCAUGAUGAUUGUUGGUAUGUUUGAGUCCGUUGUUCCAGCCAUUGUGUAAUCCUUCUCUUAGAGGGUUUCCUUCGUUUUUGCUGACCCUCUACUUUACCAAACAUGAUGUCUUUUCUAGCAAUUGAUCUUUGCUGAUGAUGUAUCCAAAGUAAGCGAGCAGAAGUCUUGCUAUCUUCCCUUCUAAGAAGCUUUCUGGUUGUAUUUCUUCUAAAACGGAUUUGUUCAUUCUUCUGGCAGUACACACUGUAUUCAAUAUUCUUUGCCAACACCACAGUUUGAGUACAUGAAUUCUUCUACCUCAAGUAGGUCACCGUAUUUCUCAGAGUCACAGUUUCUAAACAUGUAAAACUGGCGCAACUGCGCCAGAUGAUCCCAAUUGCCUAUCCAGCUCUGGGAUGCUAUGAAUCCUCUUGAUAAUGGUUCCAGACACAUCUGCCAUUGCAAACCUGCUCACUACAAUUUCUUUGAAAUCAUCCUCCCCACCAGCCACAUGGUAACCUAGGCAGCCAUAUUUGUGUCAUGUGACUUCUUCCUUUCCUCUGGCCAACCCGAUUGGACCAGAGAAAUAUUCCCGAUUCUGGAGGGGCACACUCCAUAGCCAAUCAGAUUUAUGCUUUGGAGAAUUUAAACCAAGAGACCUAGAGCCUGGAUCAAUCAGUGUUAGCCACUAGCUGCAAGACAAUAAGGAAAAGAGUAAUAAUGUGUGUUGAGUACUUAUCCUAUUGGGCACUUUAUUUUAUUCUCACAUCAGCCCUGCAAAGUAGGCUCUAUUAGGAUUCCAAUCUUACAGAUGAGGAAACUGAGUUUUAAGGAUGUGUUAUAUUUGUCAGAUUAUAGCAUGCAGCUAGAUGAGAUGUAUUCCAAUUCCCCCCCCCAAAAAAUUGGAGGAAAAUGUUAAAAUCUUUUUCUUCAUACAUAUACUGAUAAUAAUUUGAAGAGAUUUAUACAUAUAUAUAAACUUGUUCUUAUAUUCAUGUAAACACAGUAUACAAAAAAAAAAAAGAAAACCCAUUGCUUUCGAAUCGAUUCCAACUCAUAGCGACCCUAUAGCACAGAGCAGAACUGCUCCAUAGGAUUUCCAAGGAGCACCUGGUGGAUUCGAACUGCCGGCCUUUUGUUUAGCAGCCAUAGCUCUUAACCACUACACACCACCAGGGUUUCCAAUAAAUACAGUAUACUCUAUAAUAAAAUUCCAGAAGGAAAUACCAAAUAAGUUCUAAAAAAGAAACAAACAAAAAAAAUAAGUUCUACUAACCCAGAAAUAAAGUGUUUCUUGGAACUAUAGGUAAAGAACUUAACAAAUGCAUCUAAUGUGCGUUUUGUGUUCUGGGAAGACCCUCUGCUGAGAUCAUAUACAUUUUUUUCUGCCAUUAGAACCACCACCAGCUGCCACUGAAUUGACUUCAACUCAUGGCGACCCCAUGGGUGGCAGAGCAGAACUGUGCUCCACAGGGUUUUCAAGGCUGAUUUUUCAGAAGUAGAUCACCAGGCCUUUCUUCCAAGGUGCCUCUAGAUGGGCUCAAACCUCCAACCUUUCAGUUAGCAGCUGAGUGUGUUAACCAUUGACUCCUCUGCCACUAGGCCUAUCUGCUAUUUUAAGCCUUCACCAUGUGCCUCUUAUCAAUAACAUGAACGCGUUGUGUGUAUUUAGUGGGGGAAAGAUGCGGAAUUUGUCUGCAUUGUUGCAAAUUGUCUACAAUGUUACUACAUUGGCAAGUGUAGCAACAAAUCUUCCAUAAAUGGGAUGUGGCCUGGGUUUCUAGCACCUCUCUCUCCUGCCUCCCAGGACCUGAUCUUGGAGAGCUGGGCCAGAGUGGAGCCACGUGGACCAAAAUCCUGGGCAGGUAGAAGUUACGGGAGAGCAGGAAGAAGAAAUCUGCAGACCAAGCUGGUCCACAAAGAGGGGCAUAGAGCCCAUGAUCAGAGAGAAGCGGGGACAGAGACCAUGGAGCCCCAGAAAGCUAUGGGGAGGAGAUGGUAUUGGUGCCUCUGAGGCCUAGGGUACUUCCUGCAGCUGGAAUCUCUGCGAUUUCUCUGUCCCUUGGUGACCAGUUUUUUGUUUUUUUUUUUAAAUGUGAAUUUCUCUGAGUAAAAAUUGGUUCCCACCAAUCAGAUGGAGUUCCUGGGUGGUGCAAAUGGUUAACGUGCUUGAGUGCUAACCUAAAGUUUGGAGGUUUGAAUCCACCCAGAGGCACCUCGGAAGAAAGACUUGGGGAUCUACUUCAGGAAAUUCAGCCAUUGAAAACUCUACGGAGCAUGGUUCUACUCUGACAAAUAUGGGGUUGCCACGAGUCAGAGUCCACUCAGUGACAGCUGGCUUUACCAACCAGACCAUCCCCAAUGAAGACCUUGGUUUUAUGAUCAUGCCUUAUUAAUAGAUAUUGUGGGCUAUGAAUCCUACUCCAUAAACUUGACUGUGCAAGAAACAUGCAAUGAUUUUACUUCCUUGAAGUCUAAUUAAAUAUGACCCUGAACUGACAUUCAUGACGAGGUGGCUAGAAAUUUGACCUCAGGUAUUAAUGAGGUGAGGGAACACCUUUCCUUUCUUUACAGUAGUACAAAAUCUGGGUGCCUUGUAUAUUGUUGUUAACUGCUAUAGAGUCAGACCCCCACUCAUGGCGACCGAUUGCAGAUCGAUCAUUGUGAUCCACAGGGGUUUCAUGGGCUAAUUUUUGGAGGUAGAUUGCUAGGCCUUUCUUCCUAGAUUGUCUUAGUCUGGAAGCUCCACUGAGACCCGUUCAGCAUCACAGCAAUACACACACCUCCACUGGCAGAUGGGUGAUGGCUGCGCACGAGGCGCAUUUGCUGAGAAUCAAACCAGGGUCUCCCACAAGGAAGGCCAGAACUUUACCACUGAAACACAGAUAACCUCAUUGGGCAGCUUGUUGGGUCUCAAAGCCACUUGACUCUCUCCCUUUCCUGCAAGGCAAUAUCCAAGCCCAGGCAACGGCCAGGGAGGCAGCCUGUCAGCCAGCGGCUUCUAUUUACAGCAAGGGGGUGCAGAAUCAGACAAUCUGCUUGCACUGAAGGAAGGAAGGGUUUUGGAGCACAAACUAGCACCUGACUCUCUGCUAGUUGUGUUCCUAAUGGCCAUGGCACCCAUUGCUUCUAGCAACUUCCUUUUUUGCAGGAGGGCCCUGUGGGUACCACCAUACUCGAGCAGAGGUAGAUGGAGAGGGAACAGCUGGUUACUGGCCCUCCUGGCCCACCUCCUGGGGAUUGCAUUCUUCGGUAAGUCUGGUCAGUGUGAGGGUCCACCAGACUCCCAGAGAGCCCUUGCCUCCUCAGACACGCUGCCCAGUGGCCACCCAACCCAGGCCUCUGCUAUUUUCCUGGGUUCCUCCUUGGAGUAGCUCUCGGUUUGUUUUUCUUGGGUGUACAAAAGUCACUUUGCUAAAGCUCGUAUCUGACCUUCCACUUGGCUGUUAAAACUCCCAGCCUUUGGGACAAAUCACCAACUCCUUAAUGUGGCUUUGAAGGCCCUACAUGACUUGGUUCUUGCUUGCCUUUCAAGACCUAAUUCUCACAGUUAUCCUCUACACAUUCGCUCUCUGCUCCAGAAUCGCAGACUCUCUCUCUCUCUCUCUCUCUCUGUGUUCUCUGCCUGGAACAUGGUCUCCCCAGCAGCAGCAUCACCUGAUUCUCAAGUGUUAGGGGAGGGAACAGUGGCUUUGAAGUCCCUAUGCCUGAAUUCAAAUGUCAGCUCUACUACUUGCUAGCUAUGUGACCUUUUAUCCUCUGAGCCUCCAUUUUCUCAUCUGUUAAUUCAGCAUCAUUAAACUGACUUCACAGGACUGAGAUGAGGAUUCUGCGAGAAAAUGAGUAUAAAACACAAAGUGUGGGCAGAAAAUGUGCCACUCUGCUAUGGAGCCCUGGUAGUGCGGUAGUGAAGAACUUGGCUGCUAACCAAAAGGUUGGCAGUUCGAAUCUACCAGCCACUCCUUGGAAACCCUACAAGGCAGUUCCGCUCUGUCCUAUAGGGCUGCUAGGAGUUGGAUUAAAUUCGAUGGCAAUGGGUUUGGUUUUGGCUUGCUAUGUGCUCAGUAAAUAAAACUUUCUCUUUCAUUCAUCAACUAAUAUGUCCUCUUUUCACGCUACACUUGGGCUGAAUAGAAGCUGAAUAAGGUCUGACGAUCUGCUUCCAAAAAAUCAGCCAUUGAAAACCCUGUGGAGGGAGCACUGUUCUUCUCUGACCAGCACGGGGUUGCCACGAGUCGGAGCUGACUCCGCAGCAACUGGCCCUUUUAAUAUAGUUUAUCUAAGUUAACAGGUGGCUAACAGGUCAAGCACAGCAAGUGAUAGCCCCCAUUUAUCACCGUUUACCAUGUGCCAGAUACUGUGUGGGGUGUGUAAAGGCGUUAUCUCAUUGCCUUCCACAAAUCCCCUUGGAGAGAAGAGUUUUUAUUUAUUUAUCUAUCUACUCCUGUGGACAAGGAAACAAAGAUACAGAGAGCUUAAGUGAGUGAUUCUAUCUCCAACAGCGGCAGAGUCCAGUAGAGACUGAACCGUGGUCUAAGUCCAAAGACCAUACAGUCAAACACAGUCACACGCAUGCACAUACCCACAUCCAUGCCUGCACACACACACAGUCACAUACACUCACACACACACACACUCAGACACAGACGCCCACAUCCACACACAUACACACACGUAAAUAUAUAUAUACUUGCACACACUCACACUCACUCACAUACACACACAAGUAAACCCCCAUCAUGUCCCAGCCAAGGAGAGCAGAGCUGGCUGAACUUAGGACAGAGCUGGCCUCUAUUCUUAACCUCGCUACGCUGAGCAAACAGUUUCGUUCAUGAAGACGCUGUUGUUUCAUUAGGGCUUGAGUGGCUGCUUUCUCUCCCGCAAUGCUCUUCCCCUUCCCGACAGUCCCAGAUGAGCAGGGCCAGCCGGAGAGCAUGUGCUCAGAACGCGGUCGUUGGUUCUCGCUCGGGGAGGGAGGGCUGCCCCUGGUCCCAGGACGCUCAAAGCCUUCACCUGAUCUGACUUAUUCGGGGCAGACAGGCUCUGACAGAUGGGUGGAAUACCUCUCUGCUUUUUCCUUUAUUUAACCUUGCUCUCCAAGCAUUCAUUGCUUUAUUGAUUGUGCAGGCAUCUUUCUACUUCCAUGGACUGUGGUGGACACACUGCUUUUGUAAAUUGUGCCUGUAAGCAUUUUAGUCUUUCAAAAGUGUCCUCAUUUUAGAAGUGGUGACUAGUUUAGUCCCCAGGAGGCUGACCCAUCUGCAGUAUUAUACAUUCAUUCAUUAAAAAAAAAUGUUUACUGAGCAUCUACUAUGGGUAGGAAGUACCUGGACAGUACAGUUAAUGCACUCAGCUGCUAACUGAAAGGUUGGCAGUUCAAGUCUACCCGGAGGUGCCUCAGAAGAAAGACCUGGCCAUCUACUUUCAGCAAAUCAGCAAUUGAAAAUCCCUAUGAAGCACAGUUCUACUGUGACACACAUGGGUUCAACAUGAGUUGGAAUCGACCUGAUGGCAACUGGUUUACCAUGGGUGGGACACUAUUACAGGCACCAUGAUAACAAUCAUGAGCCAAACAGGCCCGGUUCCUGUCAUCAAGGAGACUACAGGAGGGAGGUAGAAAACAGGUUAGCAAACAAAGGAAUAAGCAAAAUAAUGUCAGGUAGUCAUGUGUUAUAAUGCAGUGCAAAAGGCUAUAUGCAAAAAAAAAAAAA
This is a long non-coding RNA of Loxodonta africana (African savanna elephant), 13587 nucleotides long. RefSeq lists it as uncharacterized. Lineage: Eukaryota; Metazoa; Chordata; Mammalia; Proboscidea; Elephantidae. The record is from RefSeq and is a predicted model, not a curated record. The transcript is spliced from 3 exons.